Brienomyrus brachyistius is the source of this 369-nucleotide long non-coding RNA. RefSeq lists it as uncharacterized. Lineage: Eukaryota; Metazoa; Chordata; Actinopteri; Osteoglossiformes; Mormyridae. The transcript has 4 exons. The record is from RefSeq and is a predicted model, not a curated record.
AGAAGAGAGAAGGACUUCAGCUUCACUCCAACGACAUGUAAGACUGCUGAAAAAAGGUUGGAGAACAGUGGCCCUUGGAGAAAGAACAGAAGCACUUGAGGUUUGCCUCCAGGACAUCACACCUCCUAUUAAGCGCCUUUACAAAGCAGGAGAAAGAGUGAAAUGGAGGAAAAAAUACAUAGAUGGGUCAAGUAAGCAGCAGGAGCAAAGAGCAGAAGAGGAAAUAGGAAAGAAGAAGGGAGAGGAAAAGAGAGAGAGAGGAGAGAAGACAGAUGAGGAGGGAAAAGCAGUGGAAGAAGGAAGCAACAAAUGUAAAGGAGGAAGAGGCUAUGAAGACGGAACUUAUAGCCCAGCGAAGGCUUUCCAAGC